AUACGGAGGACGCGAGCGUUAUCCGGAUUCAUUGGGUUUAAAGGGUGCGCAGGCGGCCGUGCAAGUCAGCGGUGAAAGCCCGGGGCUCAACCCCGGAAGUGCCGUUGAUACUGCAUGGCUGGAAUGCGGUCGAGGCGGGCGGAACGUGGGGUGUAGCGGGGAAAUGCGUAGAUAUGCCACAGAACGCCGAUAGCGGAGGCAGCUCGCCAGGCCUGCAUUGACGCUCGGGCACGAAAGCGUGGGGAUCGAACAGGAUUAGAUACCCUGGUAGUCCACGCCGUAAACGAUGGGCGCUCGUCGUCGGCGGCAGACAGUCGGCGGCCAAGCGAAAGCGAUAAGCGCCCCACCUGGGGAGUACGGUCGCAAGGCUGAAACUCAAAUGAAUUGACGGGG
RNAcentral lists this ribosomal RNA (393 nucleotides) under uncultured bacterium. Its description in RNAcentral is "partial 16S ribosomal RNA". It matches the Rfam family "Bacterial small subunit ribosomal RNA", at positions 523 to 918 of the family's 1533-position model. The record is from RNAcentral.